GGAAAAAUAGUCACAAGGUAAGACACAAUACUUGCUAGGUAUUGGUUCCAUCAGGAACAGAAGGGUUCGAUUCCCUUUUUUUCCG
This 85-nucleotide transfer RNA is filed under the name Pneumocystis wakefieldiae. RNAcentral describes it as "tRNA-Ser". It matches the Rfam family "tRNA". From Rfam's summary of the family: Transfer RNA (tRNA) molecules are approximately 80 nucleotides in length. Their secondary structure includes four short double-helical elements and three loops (D, anti-codon, and T loops). Lineage: Eukaryota; Fungi; Ascomycota; Pneumocystomycetes; Pneumocystales; Pneumocystaceae. The record is from RNAcentral.